UACAGAGGGUGCAAGCGUUGUUCGGAAUUAUUGGGCGUAAAGGGCGUGUAGGCGGCUUGUUAAGUCUUCUGUGAAAUCUACGGGCUCAGCCUGUAACGUGCAGAGGAAACUGGCGAGCUUGAGUGUCGGAGAGGAUAGGGGAAUACCCGGUGUAGAGGUGAAAUUCGUAGAGAUCGGGUGGAACACCAGUGGCGAAGGCGCCUAUCUGGCUGACAACUGACGCUGAGACUCGAAAGCAUGGGGAGCAAACAGG
RNAcentral lists this ribosomal RNA (253 nucleotides) under uncultured bacterium. Its description in RNAcentral is "partial 16S ribosomal RNA". It matches the Rfam family "Bacterial small subunit ribosomal RNA", at positions 524 to 776 of the family's 1533-position model. The record is from RNAcentral.